Molecule: ribosomal RNA, 253 nt
Filed under: uncultured bacterium
Lineage: Bacteria
Description: partial 16S ribosomal RNA
Rfam family: Bacterial small subunit ribosomal RNA
Source: RNAcentral
UACGGAGGGGGCUAGCGUUGCUCGGAAUCACUGGGCGUAAAGGGUGCGUAGGCGGGUCUUUAAGUCAGGGGUGAAAUCCUGGAGCUCAACUCCAGAACUGCCUUUGAUACUGAAGAUCUUGAGUCCGGGAGAGGUGAGUGGAACUGCGAGUGUAGAGGUGAAAUUCGUAGAUAUUCGCAAGAACACCAGUGGCGAAGGCGGCUCACUGGCCCGGUACUGACGCUGAGGUGCGAAAGCGUGGGGAGCAAACAGG